This 804-nucleotide long non-coding RNA is filed under the name Polistes fuscatus (common paper wasp). RNAcentral's name for it is "uncharacterized LOC122514136". The record is from RNAcentral. Lineage: Eukaryota; Metazoa; Arthropoda; Insecta; Hymenoptera; Vespidae.
UGCGUGGCUCGUUAUCUUUUAUUUUAUCUUAAAAUUAUACUAAUUCAUCGACAAUAAUUCGAUAUAACAUUCUGGAAUAAUCUACGUUAUUUCUCGGCUAGGUCAAUGUAUAUUAUUCGUUAUAAAUGUUUGUGUGUAUGGGCAUAUAAAGCAAACAUAUGUAACUAUUUCAUAACGUUUGUGUUUUUCCCCCCCUACCAAACGCAAGAAAGAUGAUGUACGUCCAUCCCUUAUCAACAAGAUUUUCUUCGUUCAGUUCGAUAAUUCAUUUCUCAAAUACGCGAUUAAAAAUUUAUUCUACAGACAUGAUUGUUGAUUAUUCAGCGAGCAAAACAGAAAAUGUAACGAAGAAUGCAAUGAAUACAAACAUAGGAAAAGAAGGAAAAUACGUAACGAUAACCCCCGUUAUGAUCUUCGUCGUGUAUUAUAUUACAUUUCGUCAAUAUAUCGUCGAAAAUGUGUUAACAUAUGUUUGUAAAUGUUAACACAAAUAUAAUGAAAAGAUUUAUCUUAGAGCUGAACUACCACAGACAGAAACGAAUAUCUACGAUCGUUCGCGAGUGCUGUUUCUUGACCCAUCGACAUUUGACGCGAUUAUUAUAAUUUUAUCGCGUACUUCUUGAAUGAAGAAUACUGUUUUAAAGUGUUAACUUUUAAAAUGCAGUAUUUGAAACUCGUUAACGAAAGCAAUGUUAAUGACAGUAUUGGCAAACAAGGUGUCGGUUGAUCUAAUGCAUGCAACAUAAGACUAAUGUUUUCAAUCGUUGUUAACUCGAUAUCUAUUUAAUAAAAUGUUUAUAGUCA